Molecule: long non-coding RNA, 3237 nt
Filed under: Equus caballus (horse)
Lineage: Eukaryota; Metazoa; Chordata; Mammalia; Perissodactyla; Equidae
Description: lncRNA (ENSECAG00000049483.1)
Source: RNAcentral
GGGGCUCCAUGUGAGGUCAGUGUUUGGGUCUCUUCGCCAGGCUCAGGGAGGCUGCUCUUCCAGGAAGGGCUGCAGAGACCCUGGGAACCGGACCAGCCCAGCUCACAAGUAUGAAGAGAAUGUCGGGAGAGGAAGUGGCGGCUGUGAGUCAGCAUGAGUCAUCUCGUUCCAAUGAGAAUGAAGACUGAGGUGUGCGCCUUUUUUUUUUCUUCUUCUUCUUCUUUUUUUUUUUUUUUGGUCUCAAUCGUGGGGACAUCAUUGGGAAUGGAGGGAAAUCAGUGACUGUAUGGUCGUUGCUUUUUAAGUUUCCAACUGGCGUUCCAGGCAAGCCGUGCCUGAGCCGGUGUCUGCCGUGAGAUCUUCAGAGCACGGUUCCUGGGAAGGUAGAACCAUUAGCUUCUCCCUGGCUCAGCGCCCCGGUUAGAGAGGACCCAACGACCAUCUCAUACAACGCCUCUAUACCUCUUGUUUCAACUCUGUGAUGUCCCCUCCAGUGACCAGACACCAGAUCACCUGCUCAUGGCUGAAAAAUUCUGGUUUUCAUUGAACCUGCCUGUUUACUGGAAACUUCCCAGCUUCGGAUCCACCUUCUGUCCCUUGGUACAGAACAGUUAGUCCAUCUGUUCUCAUGUCCCUCCAGGACAUUCCCAGGGCCGAAGCUCCUUUGACUGCUGCACACCUAACUAACCAAGCUCCUGCUGUCUGGGCACUCUUUCCUGAAUAUUCUCAGCUGUUUCAAUCCUUCUAAAACUGUGGGUCCUAGAAAGAAACAAGAAGCUUCUGGUGAGGUCUGACCAGCCCAGAGCAGAACGGGGCCACGACCUCCCACCUUACAGGACCCUAUUAAGGCACCUUGGAGCCCUUUGCAUGGCUGGUGGCCAUGUUACACUUUUGUUAGUAUUGCAAUUCCUAAUAAUGCAAUCCUGUAAGACUUUUUUCCCCCUCUUUAAUUUCUGCUACCAAAGACAGGUCUCCCAUACUUUAUAGAGUUAGGCUUUUUUUCACCCAAAAAUACAUAACCUAAUACUACCUUUAUUAAGCUGUCUUUGGAAUAUUUAAACCUUUAUCCUAUCCCACCGAAAUCUUCUGGUGUUCUAUUCGUGAGUCUGUGACCGCACUAUCCCUCCAGGGCGGGGGUCACUGGAGCUGACAAACACACUGACUCUGUUGUGCUCGAGUCACUGGAAAGUGGUGGACAGCCCAGGGCUGAGGACGGAGGCCUGGAGAAUGACGGAGGGAGCCAGCCCUCCAGGCGACACCAGCCAGAAUUCUUGGGUCAGUCAACAAACUGUGAAAUUACUAAACUUGUUAUUGAGCAUAUUUCUCCAUGUUGGCCUCUCGGAUUUCCUUGCCUGGUGCCCUGCUGAAGUCUAGACAGGCUGCUCACUAUAUUUCCUUGAUUGACCCAUCUCAGGACCUUCCCACAAGAAAAUGAGAUUAAAUGGAUGUGACCCGGUCUUACUAACCCGGCUGGCUCUUGGAACUCACCUCUUCCUUUCCUGAGGUCUUCUAAGGUAUUAUUUUUGGCAUUUUAGAAUCUCAUCUAGGGUAAACACAGGGUUCAGGGUUUAUGGAGUCACCUUCUUGUCCUUUGUGGCCACCAGAGUUGCCCAGGUCUUAUAAAUGCUGGAGCAGCUCACUCCGGUGGCUCUAACCGCUCAUCUGCUGGCUGCUGGGCUGCAGCUCACUGAGGCAGGAGGCAGGGCCUCUCACCAUCUCCACCCUCAUCCCAGGCCUUGGUUGCUCCCAUGCUGUCUAUGGUCCUUAUGAUGGUUAAUUUUAUGUGUCACCUUGGCUAGGCCACAGUACCCAGAUAUUUGGUGAAAUGUUAUUCUGGAUGUUCUGUAAAGGUGUUAUUUAGAUAAUAUUAACAUUUAAAUCUGUACACGUUGAGUAAAGCAGAUUACCCUUCAAAAAUCUCAGUGGGCCUCGCCUAAUCAGUCGAAGGCCUUAAUAGAAAAAGAUUGAGGUCCCUCAAAGGAGAGGGAAUUCUGUUAGCAGGCUGUCUUCCGACUCAACUGCAGCUCUUCCCUGAGUCUCCAGCCUGCUGGAGAUUUUGAACUUGCUUCACCCCCGUAGAUUGGGCUUGCUAAGCCUCCACAAUCACAUGAGCCACUUCCUUAAAAUCAAUCUCUCUUUCUUUCUUUUUUUUUUCUGUCUCUGUCGACAUAUUCUAUUGCUUCUCUUUCUCUGGAGAACUCUGAUUACUGCAGUGUUCUGCCAGUGUUAACAUUAUUUUGACAGAAAAGAUAAAGUAGAGGUAGAGAACUUCUGCUUUCUCUCAUGACGCGAGCUCUUCUAUUUCUCUCUAGCCUGUCUAGAUUUGCGCCUUGCUGAGUGCUCCCCCCAGGGCUCUGUUCUGGUUAAAAACAUGAAUUGAGCACCUACUAUGUACUAGGCACUGGCUCCCUUAUGCACCGUCUUCCAUAUUUCAUUCUUUCCAUCAGCGCUCUCCCAUGUGGCUAUGACAAUCUCCAGAAGUAGCCUCCUCUUCUUUCUUGCAAGGAUCACAUUCUCCCAUGGGGAGGAUUAACAUCGAGAGCCUCCCGGCUCUCCUGAGCUGCCCUGCCCCGAGGGGCUCAGCCUUCCUGGAGCCUGCUUUCCCGAAGCUGCAGGAACUCCCCUGACUCCCCACAGCCUCCUGCUCCUUCCAUCUGCAGGCAGCAAGCAGCGCGGUUCCAAGCACAGGGCCGGGCUCAGAGAGCCCUUGGUCUUAGUCUCAAAUCUGCCCCUUGGUUGUGGUUUGAUCUUGGGCAAAGUUUUUAACCUUCCUGGGCCUCAGUGUCUCAUUCCGGAAGGGGAUUCUGAUGGUGCUCACCUCACAGGUCGUUGUGUGGGUUAAACGAGAAGAGGCAGCCGGACACUUAGCAGGACGCCAGGCUUAGGAGAGUGGGUCCCACCCAGUCUCAUCAGAUGUGUCCUCCUUAGGCAUUCUGGGCUGCUCUUGCCCUUUCUCCACUCCACCAUUCUGUGGCGGGCCUGAGUGCUGCUCACAAGUGUUCUCUCUCCUCUCUUGCAUACACGUGGUAGAAUUGUGAUGCCCAGCCUUUUUGAAGUUACACCUGGCCAUGAGACUAGCUCAGGCAAAAGAAAUGAGUGUUGGACAUCCCAUGUGAGUGAGAAAUAAAUUUUUGUGGACAUAAGCUACUGAGGUAUGGGAGGUGGUAUUUGUUACUGCAGCAUAGCCUAGCCAGUCCUGACUGAUACACCCCCUCAUCUUCAAUAUCUAAAAUCAUG